RNAcentral lists this ribosomal RNA (328 nucleotides) under uncultured eukaryote. RNAcentral describes it as "partial 18S ribosomal RNA". It matches the Rfam family "Eukaryotic small subunit ribosomal RNA", at positions 1470 to 1796 of the family's 1831-position model. The record is from RNAcentral.
CCCUUAGAUGUCCUGGGCCGCACGCGCGCUACACUGAUGCAUGCAACGAGUUUAUAACCUUGGCCUGAAAGGUCUGGGUAAUCUUUUGAACGUGCAUCGUGAUAGGGAUAGAUUAUUGCAAUUGUUAAUCUUGAACGAGGAAUUCCUAGUAAACGCGAGUCAUCAGCUCGCAUUGAUUACGUCCCUGCCCUUUGUACACACCGCCCGUCGCACCUACCGAUUGAAUGGUUCGGUGAAGAUCUCGGACUUCGAUAUUUAGUCUUUAUUGAGUUUAUAUUGUGGGAAGUUAUCUAAACCUCAUCAUUUAGAGGAAGGUGAAGUCGUAACA